This 427-nucleotide long non-coding RNA is filed under the name Solanum lycopersicum (tomato). Its description in RNAcentral is "partial TCONS_00170918". The record is from RNAcentral. Lineage: Eukaryota; Viridiplantae; Streptophyta; Magnoliopsida; Solanales; Solanaceae.
AUUCCGACGGGUUAUUUCAGCAUAUUCGUCGCUGCAUAUCUAGGUUUCACUGGACCUGUACCGGGAUUGAACAACAACUAUGAAAUUCGGAUGACGUUGGAGGAAUUGACAGUUUCCCCAAAAUGGGUUCCGUUUGAAACUGCCGUUGCUUUCAAGGAGUUUGAACUUUUGAGGAUCUACGAAGGUUGCAAAGAAGGCGAGGAAGAGAACUUUUAUGAUAUUUCUCGUAUGUAUAAGACUUUUGAAAAUUGUGAUUUUUUACUUGUGAGGAGUUGUUUAGAAUUUGAACCGGAAUGGCUGAAAGUAGUAGAGGAUAUUCACCCAAAACCGGUGAUCCCGGUGGGCCAACUUCCGACGACAUCAUAUGAAGAUGACAACACAGAUAUUGAUGCGUGGAGAGAAAUAAAAUUAUGGCUUGAUAAGCAAG